CCCUUAGAUGUUCUGGGCCGCACGCGUGCUACACUGAGUGGAUCAGCGGGUCAGGUUGCGCGAAAGCGUUUCCUAAUCUUUAAAUCCGCUCGUGAUGGGGAUUGACGGUUGCAAUUUUCUGUCAUGAACGAGGAAUACCUUGUAAGCGCGGGUCAUCAUCCCGCGCUGAAUACGUCCCUGCCCUUUGUACACACCGCCCGUCGCUCCUACCGAUUGGGUGUGCUGGUGAAAUGUUCGGAUCGGCCGUUUGUCGCGGUUUCCGCGGCUCGUGGCUGAGAAGUUCAUUAAACCCUCCCACCGAGAGGAAGGAGAAGUCGUAACA
Molecule: ribosomal RNA, 322 nt
Filed under: uncultured eukaryote
Lineage: Eukaryota
Description: partial 18S ribosomal RNA
Rfam family: Eukaryotic small subunit ribosomal RNA
Source: RNAcentral